Unclassified non-coding RNA from Macaca fascicularis (crab-eating macaque), 299 nucleotides. It matches the Rfam family "Metazoan signal recognition particle RNA". Rfam says of the family: The signal recognition particle (SRP) is a universally conserved ribonucleoprotein. It is involved in the co-translational targeting of proteins to membranes. Lineage: Eukaryota; Metazoa; Chordata; Mammalia; Primates; Cercopithecidae. The record is from Ensembl.
GCCAGGCACGGUGGUGCGUGCCUAUAGUCCCAACUACUUGGGAAGCUGAGGCAGGAGGAUGGCUUGAGUCCAAGAGUUCUGGGCUGUACUAUGCUAUGCCAGUUGGGGGGUCCACACUAAGUUCAGCAUCAACACGGUGACCUCCCGGGAAGGGGGACCACCAGGUUUAGUAAUGAGGGAUGAACUGGCCCAGAUUGGAAACAAGGAAGUCAAAACUCCCGUGCUGAUCAGUAAUGGGAUCAUGCCUGCGAAUAGCCACCGCACUCCAGUCUGGGCAACACAGCAAAACCCUGUCCCAA